This 548-nucleotide long non-coding RNA is filed under the name Anas platyrhynchos platyrhynchos (common mallard). RNAcentral describes it as "lncRNA (ENSAPLG00000030878.1)". The record is from RNAcentral. Lineage: Eukaryota; Metazoa; Chordata; Aves; Anseriformes; Anatidae.
AAAUGGGAGAUAUGCCUGUGUCAUGUCUUUGCACAUCUAACUAUUCUAGCUGAACUGAAUGAUGAUAUGAAGGGAGAGGAAAUAAUUUCCAGAGCAGGGAACCAACAGUGCGAAAAGCUCAGCCCCGCUGAGAUUUCUGUGCAGAGGAGAAGUGAUGCAGACAGGAUACCCUGCUCCUGCCACCACAUCUCACCUCGAAUCAAGCUAAGCCAUUUCUCAAGACCUUUGCCUUUUCACAAGUGCAGACUUUCACCCAAGAGUUCAACAGUAAAGUGAGAACAAGAAACAGCUAAAUGUAGGAAUGCAAAAACAUGGGAUACAGUGAAUUCUCUUUUCCAGCUUCCUUUCUGGGACUCUAAUCUGUCAUCCUUAUGUGCCAAGCAACAAAAGAAUGAUUUACUUUUCUCUGUAUAAAAUCUGUUUUUUUUUUUUUGUUUGUUUUCUAUGCCAAUUCAGAUAUUUUUAUUGGUUGUAUCUGUGGCUGUUUAACAAUGACAUUACUUGCAGGGGGAAAAAAAAUGUGCAAAUAAAGUAAUCUAUUUAAGUCA